Salmo salar (Atlantic salmon) is the source of this 54-nucleotide non-coding RNA. Lineage: Eukaryota; Metazoa; Chordata; Actinopteri; Salmoniformes; Salmonidae. The record is from Rfam.
ACUAAACGUUCCUGUAAAUCGCUCUGGAUAAGAGCGUCUACUAAAUAACUAAAA